This 551-nucleotide unclassified non-coding RNA is filed under the name Hevea brasiliensis (rubber tree). Lineage: Eukaryota; Viridiplantae; Streptophyta; Magnoliopsida; Malpighiales; Euphorbiaceae. The record is from RNAcentral.
AUAAGAAGAUUGAAAGAAAGAAAAAGGAAAAACAGAGGGAAGGAAAAUAGCUAACAACAUCAUCAAAAAUACCCUAAAGAAGAAAUGAAGGUAUCUAUCUGUCCUUGACUUGUGUGCUGAUAUCAAAUGAAGAUUCAAGUCCAAGUUUCAAUCAUUGAAAAUCAAAUUUUGAGAUAUGUAAACUCCUAGCCAAAAUAGGUGAUGGGCACAAGAUCCUCGAUUUUUUAUCCUUGUGACAAAUGUGCCUGCAUAAUAGAAACUUGCCCAUGCAACACCGGUUGAACCAAACACUUUUUAGCACAUGCCCAUAAAAGUAAAGCAGAUCACCUUUUUGUAGGUUAGCUGGUGAUAACUUACAUUUGGGCAUAAUUAUGGCGUUUGAUUAAGAAAGCUAAAGAGUUAGGGAGAGCAACAGCAACAGUUUUUGCUCAGGUAAAUACUAGAGCUCCAGUUCGAGGGUGGAAUUUACUCUCGGGCAAUUUUUCCUCUGAGUUUUAGAAGGAAUAUUGGUUCAAUGGGGGUGGCUUAAACACUGGGUGAAGAUAGCAGAG